This 253-nucleotide ribosomal RNA is filed under the name uncultured bacterium. RNAcentral describes it as "partial 16S ribosomal RNA". It matches the Rfam family "Bacterial small subunit ribosomal RNA", at positions 524 to 776 of the family's 1533-position model. The record is from RNAcentral.
UACGUAGGGGGCUAGCGUUGUCCGGAAUCAUUGGGCGUAAAGCGCGUGUAGGCGGUCCGGUAAGUCCGCUGUGAAAGUCGAGGGCUCAACCCUCGAAUGCCGGUAGAUACUGUCGGGCUUGAGUACGGGAGAGGCGAGUGGAAUUCCUGGUGUAGCGGUGAAAUGCGCAGAUAUCAGGAGGAACACCGAUUGCGAAGGCAGCUCGCUGGAACGUUACUGACGCUGAGACGCGAAAGCGUGGGGAGCAAACAGG